CUCUGUCACCCAGGCCAGAGUGCAGCAAUGCAAUCAGAGCUCACUGCAGUCUUGGCCUUGCAGGCUAAAGCAGUCCUCCCACGUCAGCCUUCCGAGUGGCUGGGACUGCAGGCAUGCACCACUGCGCUCAGCUCUGUCUAUAGUUUUGACUGGCACUUCCCUAGUGAUCAGUGGGAACCUGAUCAAUG
This is a long non-coding RNA of Sapajus apella (tufted capuchin), 188 nucleotides long. RefSeq lists it as uncharacterized. Lineage: Eukaryota; Metazoa; Chordata; Mammalia; Primates; Cebidae. The record is from RefSeq and is a predicted model, not a curated record. The transcript is spliced from 3 exons.